Molecule: ribosomal RNA, 795 nt
Filed under: Paraconiothyrium thysanolaenae
Lineage: Eukaryota; Fungi; Ascomycota; Dothideomycetes; Pleosporales; Didymosphaeriaceae
Description: eukaryotic LSU rRNA
Rfam family: Eukaryotic large subunit ribosomal RNA
Source: RNAcentral
GCGGCAACAGCUCAAAUUUGAAAUCUGGCUCUCUUUGGGAGUCCGAGUUGUAAUUUGCAGAGGAUGCUUUGGCAUUGGCGGCGGUCUAAGUUCCUUGGAACAGGACAUCGCAGAGGGUGAGAAUCCCGUACGUGGGCGCCUGCCUUUGCCGUGUAAAGCUCCUUCGACGAGUCGAGUUGUUUGGGAAUGCAGCUCUAAAUGGGAGGUAAAUUUCUUCUAAAGCUAAAUACCGGCCAGAGACCGAUAGCGCACAAGUAGAGUGAUCGAAAGAUGAAAAGUACUUUGGAAAGAGAGUCAAAAAGCACGUGAAAUUGUUGAAAGGGAAGCGCUUGCAGCCAGACUUGCCCGCAGUUGCUCACCUAGGCUUUGGCCUGGGGCACUCUUCUGCGGGCAGGCCAGCAUCAGUUUGGGCGGUCGGAUAAAGGCCUCUGUCAAGUAUCUCCCUUCGGGGUGACCUUAUAGGGGAGGCGUAAUGCGACCAGCCCGGACUGAGGUCCGCGCAUCUGCUAGGAUGCUGGCGUAAUGGCUGUAAGCGGCCCGUCUUGAAACACGGACCAAGGAGUCUAACAUCUAUGCGAGUGUUUGGGUGUCAAGCCCGGGCGCGCAAUGAAAGUGAACGGAGGUGGGAACCCUUUGGGUGCACCAUCGACCGAUCCUGAUGUCUUCGGAUGGAUUUGAGUAAGAGCAUAGCUGUUGGGACCCGAAAGAUGGUGAACUAUGCUUGAAUAGGGUGAAGCCAGAGGAAACUCUGGUGGAGGCUCGCAGCGGUUCUGACGUGCAAAUCGAUCGUCAAAU